RNAcentral lists this ribosomal RNA (494 nucleotides) under uncultured bacterium. RNAcentral's name for it is "partial 16S ribosomal RNA". It matches the Rfam family "Bacterial small subunit ribosomal RNA", at positions 28 to 507 of the family's 1533-position model. The record is from RNAcentral.
GACGAACGCUGGCGGCGUGCUUAACACAUGCAAGUCGAACGGUGAAGCGCCUUCCUUUUUGGUGGGUGUGGAUGAGUGGCGAACGGGUGAGUAACACGUGAGUAACCUGCCCCCCUCUUCUGGAUAACCGCAUGAAAGUGUGGCUAAUACGGGAUAUUCUGGGUCUGUCGCAUGAUGGGUCUGGGAAAGAUAUUGUUUCGGUGGGGGAUGGGCUCGCGGCCUAUCAGCUUGUUGGUGGGGUGAUGGCCUACCAAGGCGGUGACGGGUAGCCGGCCUGGGAGGGUGGACGGUCACACUGGGACUGAGACACGGCCCAGACUCCUACGGGAGGCAGCAGUGGGGAAUAUUGCACAAUGGGCGCAAGCCUGAUGCAGCGACGCCGCGUGAGGGAUGGAGGCCGUCGGGUUGUGAACCUCUUUCGCCAGUGAAGCAGGCCUGCCUCGUUUGUGGGUGGGUUGACGGUAGCUGGAUAAGAAGCGCCGGCUAACUACGUG